RNAcentral lists this unclassified non-coding RNA (246 nucleotides) under Hevea brasiliensis (rubber tree). The record is from RNAcentral. Lineage: Eukaryota; Viridiplantae; Streptophyta; Magnoliopsida; Malpighiales; Euphorbiaceae.
CUUUGCAAUCUCUUUUCCACGCCAUGCCUGAAAAUAAUUUAGCUGGAUCCCAUACUCUUGUUUGAUGUCAUUUACAAUAUCCUUAGGCUUGUAAUUUGGAAAAACUUUCAACUUUUCCUUGAUGAUGCUAGCCACCCAGCUUCGAGUUGCCUGAUGCCCUGUUGUCACUACAGACCCUUCACAUGUAUGCGUUGGAUUCAUCUUCUUAAUACAGAUUAGUUGAGUGGUUGACAAUCUUGAUGCAUG